Molecule: ribosomal RNA, 492 nt
Filed under: uncultured bacterium
Lineage: Bacteria
Description: partial 16S ribosomal RNA
Rfam family: Bacterial small subunit ribosomal RNA
Source: RNAcentral
AGUGAACGCUGGCGGUAGGCCUAACACAUGCAAGUCGAACGGCAGCACAGUAAGAGCUUGCUCUUACGGGUGGCGAGUGGCGGACGGGUGAGGAAUACAUCGGAAUCUACUUUUUCGUGGGGGAUAACGUAGGGAAACUUACGCUAAUACCGCAUACGACCUACGGGUGAAAGCAGGGGAUCUUCGGACCUUGUGCGAUUGAAUGAGCCGAUGUCGGAUUAGCUAGUUGGCGGGGUAAAGGCCCACCAAGGCGACGAUCCGUAGCUGGUCUGAGAGGAUGAUCAGCCACACUGGAACUGAGACACGGUCCAGACUCCUACGGGAGGCAGCAGUGGGGAAUAUUGGACAAUGGGCGCAAGCCUGAUCCAGCCAUACCGCGUGGGUGAAGAAGGCCUUCGGGUUGUAAAGCCCUUUUGUUGGGAAAGAAAAGCAGCAGGUUAAUACCCCGCUGUUCUGACAGUACCCAAAGAAUAAGCACCGGCUAACUUCGUG